UGGGGAAUAUUGGACAAUGGGCGAAAGCCUGAUCCAGCCAUGCCGCGUGUGUGAAGAAGGUCUUCGGAUUGUAAAGCACUUUAAGUUGGGAGGAAGGGCAUUAACCUAAUACGUUAGUGUUUUGACGUUACCGACAGAAUAAGCACCGGCUAACUCUGUGCCAGCAGCCGCGGUAAUACAGAGGGUGCAAGCGUUAAUCGGAAUUACUGGGCGUAAAGCGCGCGUAGGUGGUUUGUUAAGUUGGAUGUGAAAUCCCCGGUCUCAACCUGGGAACUGCAUUCAAAACUGACUGACUAGAGUAUGGUAGAGGGUGGUGGAAUUUCCUGUGUAGCGGUGAAAUGCGUAGAUAUAGGAAGGAACACCAGUGGCGAAGGCGACCACCUGGACUAAUACUGACACUGAGGUGCG
RNAcentral lists this ribosomal RNA (408 nucleotides) under uncultured bacterium. RNAcentral's name for it is "partial 16S ribosomal RNA". It matches the Rfam family "Bacterial small subunit ribosomal RNA", at positions 355 to 755 of the family's 1533-position model. The record is from RNAcentral.